This 99-nucleotide small nuclear RNA is filed under the name Canis lupus familiaris (dog). Lineage: Eukaryota; Metazoa; Chordata; Mammalia; Carnivora; Canidae. RNAcentral also lists the same sequence under 1 other name. The record is from RNAcentral.
GUGCUUGCUUCGGCAGCACAUAUACUAAAAUUGUAAUAAUACAGAGAAGAUUAGCAUGGCCCCUGCAUCAGGAUGACAGGUGAAGUGUUCCAUAUUUUU